Molecule: small nuclear RNA, 72 nt
Organism: Pseudopipra pipra
Lineage: Eukaryota; Metazoa; Chordata; Aves; Passeriformes; Pipridae
Product: U2 spliceosomal RNA
Exons: 1
Source: RefSeq, a predicted model, not a curated record
AUCACUUCUCGGCCUUUUGGCUAAGAUCAAGUGUAGUAUCAGUUUAAUAAAACAUAACUAAGCAAAACCUCA